UACGUAGGGUGCGAGCGUUAAUCGGAUUUACUGGGCGUAAAGCGUGCGCAGGCGGCCCGUUAAGACAGGUGUGAAAUCCCUGGGCUCAACCUAGGAAUUGCGCUUGUGACUGGCGGGCUCGAGUACGGUAGAGGGGGGUGGAAUUCCUGGUGUAGCAGUGAAAUGCGUAGAGAUCAGGAGGAACACCGAUGGCGAAGGCGGCCCCCUGGGCCUGUACUGACGCUCAUGCACGAAAGCGUGGGGAGCAAACAGG
RNAcentral lists this ribosomal RNA (253 nucleotides) under uncultured microorganism. Its description in RNAcentral is "partial 16S ribosomal RNA". It matches the Rfam family "Bacterial small subunit ribosomal RNA", at positions 524 to 776 of the family's 1533-position model. The record is from RNAcentral.